GGGCGAGGCACCGAAGAGACCCCGCUGGCCUCGCUGCCGCCGGGAUGCGGGGGUCGCGGGCUCCCAGCGCGCUCCGCGGCGGCCAUGGCGCCCGCCGCCGCCCCGACCCAGUCCGCGCCGCUUCCUGGCGUCCUCACCUUCCGAAGCGGAGUCGUCGGGGGCCGCGGCGGCCGUGAUCGCGGGCGCCGUCGUCGCUGCUGCCGCCGCCGCCGCCGGGGCGGGCUGGCUAGGGGCGGCCGCCGUGGCGUCCGGUUCAGGGUCGGGAUCGGGGACGGGGUCGGGGUCCCGGCCUGGCGUGCUGCUGCGGGGCCCCGGCGGAGAGAGCUGCAGGAUGGGCCUGCGGCCGGGUACCGCCCGCGACUUCUUCCCCAUCGCGAGCCGGAACGCGAGCGGCGAGCGUCGGCAGCCGAGAGGGGCGGGCGCGGCGCGGAUCUUGACGUGUAGUUCAGGCCUUACGUAUCCCAGGCUGUCCUGGAACCUGCAAUCCUCCUGGCUCAGCCUCCCGCGUAGCUGGGGUUACAGGCGUUCGUCACCAGGCCUGUUGGUACCCAUCUACCUCUGUGUUGUGCUUAAGAAAUACCAGUGGUUGCUCUUCAUAGGUCUUGCUAACUUGCCUAGGUUGGCCUGGAAUCUGUGAUCCUCCUGCC
This 647-nucleotide long non-coding RNA is filed under the name Heterocephalus glaber (naked mole-rat). RNAcentral describes it as "lncRNA (ENSHGLG00000048970.1)". Lineage: Eukaryota; Metazoa; Chordata; Mammalia; Rodentia; Bathyergidae. The record is from RNAcentral.